AUAAUCCUAUAAAAUUAUUGAAUAAAAUAAGUGAAAAUAAAGAAAUAAAAAUAAAUGUUGAACCGUUAUGGCCGGAAGGUCCUAAUAAUGUUUUAAACUCUUUAUGAAGAGUUAAAAGAAUUGAAUUUCAAAAAAUAUUAUAUCGAGAAGGCAUAAGUCAAUAAAUAGAAGGAAUUAUUAAAAUUCCUAAAAAUGUUCUAAUUCAA
Long non-coding RNA from Drosophila mojavensis, 206 nucleotides. RefSeq lists it as uncharacterized. The transcript is spliced from 2 exons. The record is from RefSeq and is a predicted model, not a curated record. NCBI's taxonomy places the organism in Eukaryota, Metazoa, Arthropoda, Insecta, Diptera, Drosophilidae.